This 138-nucleotide ribosomal RNA is filed under the name Erinaceus europaeus (western European hedgehog). The record is from RNAcentral. Lineage: Eukaryota; Metazoa; Chordata; Mammalia; Eulipotyphla; Erinaceidae.
GUCUACGGCCAUACCACCCUGAACACGCCCCAUCUCGUCUGAUCUCGGAAGCUAAGCAGGGUCGGGCCUGGUUAGUACUUGGAUGGGAGAAAAUCAUCCUCUUAACAUUUAAAAAUAAUUACAAUUGGAAGUCGGGCA